RNAcentral lists this ribosomal RNA (460 nucleotides) under uncultured bacterium. Its description in RNAcentral is "partial 16S ribosomal RNA". It matches the Rfam family "Bacterial small subunit ribosomal RNA", at positions 338 to 795 of the family's 1533-position model. The record is from RNAcentral.
CCUACGGGAGGCAGCAGUGAGGAAUAUUGGUCAAUGGGCGCGAGCCUGAACCAGCCAAGUAGCGUGAAGGAUGACUGCCCUACGGGUUGUAAACUUCUUUUAUAAAGGAAUAAAGUGAGGCACGUGUGCCUUUUUGUAUGUACUUUAUGAAUAAGGAUCGGCUAACUCCGUGCCAGCAGCCGCGGUAAUACGGAGGAUCCGAGCGUUAUCCGGAUUUAUUGGGUUUAAAGGGAGCGUAGAUGGGUUGUUAAGUCAGUUGUGAAAGUUUGGGGCUCAACCGUAAAAUUGCAUGUGAUACUGGCAGUCGUGAGGACAGGUGCGGUAGGCGGAAUGCGUGGUGUAGCGGUGAAAUGCUUAGAGAUCACGAAGAACUCCGAUUGCGAAGGCAGCUUACUAAACUGUAACUGACAUUGAUGCUCGAAAGUGUGGGUAUCAAACAGGAUUAGAUACCCGUGUAGUC